GAUGAAGAACGCAGCGAAAUGCGAUAAGUAAUGUGAAUUGCAGAAUUCAGUGAAUCAUCGAAUCUUUGAACGCACAUUGCGCCCGCCAGUAUUCUGGCGGGCAUGCCUGUUCGAGCGUCAUUACAACCCUCAGGCCCCCGGGCCUGGCGUUGGGGAUCGGCGGAGCCCCCCGUGGGCACACGCCGUCCCCCAAAUACAGUGGCGGUCCCGCCGCAGCUUCCAUCGCGUAGUAGCUAACACCUCGCGACUGGAGAGCGGCGCGGCCACGCCGUAAAACACCCAACUCUUCUGAAGUUGACCUCGAAUCAGGUAGGAAUACCUGCUGAACUUAAGCAUAUCAAUAGCGGAGGA
RNAcentral lists this unclassified non-coding RNA (351 nucleotides) under soil metagenome. Its description in RNAcentral is "partial contains 5.8S ribosomal RNA, internal transcribed spacer 2, and large subunit ribosomal RNA". The stretch from base 1 to 120 matches the Rfam family "5.8S ribosomal RNA", at positions 35 to 154 of the family's 154-position model. The record is from RNAcentral.